GUAGACAUAGUUUAAUAAAAAUUUUAGUUUGUGGUUCUAAAGACAGGGGUUAAACCCCCUUGUCCACC
This 68-nucleotide transfer RNA is filed under the name Apogon semilineatus (half-lined cardinal). RNAcentral describes it as "tRNA-His". It matches the Rfam family "tRNA". From Rfam's summary of the family: Transfer RNA (tRNA) molecules are approximately 80 nucleotides in length. Their secondary structure includes four short double-helical elements and three loops (D, anti-codon, and T loops). Lineage: Eukaryota; Metazoa; Chordata; Actinopteri; Kurtiformes; Apogonidae. The record is from RNAcentral.